Molecule: ribosomal RNA, 532 nt
Rfam family: Eukaryotic large subunit ribosomal RNA
CUCAGUAACGGCGAGUGAAGCGGUAACAGCUCAAAUUUGAAAUCUGGCUCUUUCAGGGUCCGAGUUGUAAUUUGCAGAAGAUGCUUUGGGUGUGGCUCCAGUCUAAGUUCCUUGGAACAGGACGUCAUAGAGGGUGAGAAUCCCGUAUGUGAUUGGUGGCCUUCGCCCGUGUAAAGCUCUUUCGACGAGUCGAGUUGUUUGGGAAUGCAGCUCAAAAUGGGUGGUAAAUUUCAUCUAAAGCUAAAUAUUGGCCAGAGACCGAUAGCGCACAAGUAGAGUGAUCGAAAGAUGAAAAGCACUUUGGAAAGAGAGUUAAACAGUACGUGAAAUUGUUGAAAGGGAAGCGUUGGCAACCAGACUCGUAUGCCGCUAAUCAUCCGGGGUUCUCCCCGGUGCACUUGGUGGUUUUCGGGCCAGCAUCGGUUUCGGUGGUGGGAUAAAGGCCUUGGGAAUGUAGCUCCUUUCGGGGAGUGUUAUAGCCCUCGGUGCAAUGCCGCCUACCGGGACCGAGGACCGCGCUCGGCUAGGAUGC